RNAcentral lists this ribosomal RNA (468 nucleotides) under uncultured bacterium. RNAcentral's name for it is "partial 16S ribosomal RNA". It matches the Rfam family "Bacterial small subunit ribosomal RNA", at positions 28 to 507 of the family's 1533-position model. The record is from RNAcentral.
GACGAACGCUGGCGGCGUGCUUAACACAUGCAAGUCGAACGGAAAGGCCCUGCUUUUGUGGGGUGCUCGAGUGGCGAACGGGUGAGUAUCACGUGAGUAACCUGCCCUUGACUUUGGGAUAACUUCAGGAAACUGGGGCUAAUACCCGAUAGGAGCUCCUGCUGCAUGGUGGGGGUUGGAAAGUUUCGGCGGUUGGGGAUGGACUCGCGGCUUAUCAGCUUGUUGGUGGGGUAGUGGCUUACCAAGGCAUUGACGGGUAGCCGGCCUGAGAGGGUGACCGGGCACAGUGGGACUGGGGUACGGGCCAGACUCCUACGGGGGGCAGCAGUGGGAAAUAGUGCACGAUGGGCGGAAGCCGGAUGCAGCAACGCCGCGUGCGGGAUGACGGCCUUCGGGUUGUAAACCGCGUUCGCCUGUAACGAAGAGUGAGUGACGGUAAUGGGUAAAGAAGCACCGGCUAACUACGUG